Molecule: transfer RNA, 2193 nt
Filed under: Marmota monax (woodchuck)
Lineage: Eukaryota; Metazoa; Chordata; Mammalia; Rodentia; Sciuridae
Source: RNAcentral
UCCCGCCCCUCUCUCCAGCAAUCCUCUGGGAGCUGCACGCUCAAUGGGCUAUCAGGCUUGCCCAUCACUCUCACGCCCCCCUCCACUACCCCUGAAUAGGUGGGAUCCAGACAGAUACAGGCACUCCCAGCCCCAAGUCCCCAGCCAAUCUCUCCCAGGACCGCCUGGGACCUCCCAGCUCUGAUGUGCUACCUGCCUUACCAGCUCAGGACCUGCAGGGUUUGGUCACACUGACAGCCUGCCCUUCUAUUGUCUGGUAAUGCAGUCUAACCCAGGUACCAACGUGCUAGGAUUGCCUGGUCCAUGCUGCUAGGAUUCUGCUCUGUGAGUCCAGCCACAGGUGAAGGUUAAGCUCCCUAAGACCCACAGUGGGAGUGGAUUUCGGUGACUGUGUGCUUCUCCCCCUCCCUUCGGCUUGGGUAACUGCAGCAGUUUCUUGUGAAAAUGCAAGGAGAGGCCUGGGGAGGGCAGGACAAGCUGGUGGUUGCCUGGCUUGGUUUUUUUUUUUUUGGCAGGGGAUGGGGGGCUGGCCAUAGGCCCCUUCAGGGUCCACAUCUGCUGGGUUGGGGCUCCGCCAAAGACGGCUGACUGGUUUAGUUGCCCGGCUGCCGCGGGCAGGGAGCUGGCUGGCAGGCUUUCUGCAGGAUGCUAAUGAGGGCAGUCACAGGCGAGGGGGGGAGGCGCGCUUUUGUCCUGCACUUGUCCUUGGUGGAGGGUCCUCAGAGGGAGACAAGGGGCCCUCCUCAGAUCCAAGUGUCCGUGAUUAGCCUGCCAUCACUCACUUUGAUGGAUCCCAGGGCUCUGGGGGGUGUGGACAGAGAUGGGGAGGGACAGGGAGCAAGCCAAUUCUGUGCCGCCAUCCCGUGAUUCCCAGUGAGUGUCCUUACAGAAUCGCUGCUUAAUCCUGUCUCCUCCACCCUCUUCCUUUCCCACUGUAAGCCUUUGCUGUACCUGUGAUGUCCUCUCCAGGCUCACAUUGCCAGGAGUGGAUCUCUGGAUGAGGUCAUCUUAGAGCCUGCUUCUGCAGGAGUUUCUCCUCUUUCCAAACUCACAGAGCCAUGUCUGGGUUUUCAUCUGCUGCUUUUCAUCUGCCCAUAUUUUGGUCCUGGUGGUCUCUUCCUAUUUGUCUGUGAGUUGCUUAGUGCUGGCAUGGUGUGUCACUGAUCACUAGUGGCUUCAUCCUGCCCAGGAUGGGGGCUCGCACCUAGGAAGUGCUCAGUAGAUAUUCACUGAAUGAUCUCAGGGUGGUGGAACACAAAUGGAUCUCAAGCUUCAUUUUGCAGAUGGGGAAGGAUGUGUGACUUGUGCAAGGUCACACAGAGCAAUGAGUGACUCAGUCUCCCAGCCCCACUCAGGCCUCCUUGAGAGCAGGGCUUCUCAAAUUUUGGUUCAGGGACACCCAAGGAAAGAGGAGAGGAUUCAGGUAGGACAUAAACAUGAAUGGGGAAAAAUAAGCCCUCUGUAUUGCCACAACCUCUGACAGAAACUGAGCCUCUCAUCCUUUGCUGAUGUAGGCACAUCACAGCACCCUGUGGCUGAGCCGUGUCUGGCUUUUGUUACCAGUGGAAAUUGUGUCCUAGCUAUGGUAGGGUAACCUUAGGUAUCAUUUAUGACUAUUCCCAAUCUGUAUGGUAGGUAUUAAAUUUGUUGCUAGAUCUUGUUAUUUAAUCCAUUAAUAAAGGAGCACACAUGGUCAUUAUGUUGUAAAAUCUUAAAGACACUUUGACAAUUUCAGUACCAUUGGUUUUCUAUAUGAUUUUAUGUAUUUGGGAAAUUUAUUUUAUUUUAUUUGUGAUGCUGGGGACUAAACCCAGGGCCUCUCACAUACCAGGCAAGUGCUCUACCCUUGAGCCACACCCCCAAUACUAAGGUAUUCAUUUUGAAAGGGAUCACAGACUUUACCACUCUGCCCAAGAGGUCCAUGGCAUACAAAAGCUUAAAACCCCUGCACAAAGGAACAUCCCUGGUUGACUCUUCAGCCCAGAGACUGUGUCUUUGAUCCAUCUUUUGCAAAGAAGGUUGGAGGAGAUGUAGACACCUGCUAGUGUGAUUGGAAGAGGCUCGGGGUAGGGGUCACUCCUCCAGCACCACCCCCUUGUCCUGUCACUUUUUAAACGUAGCUGCUAUUUACUGAGUACCACACACAUGCCCAUCACUGUUCUUAAUACUGGGAAUAGAUCUCUGAACCAAACU